CAGUGUUGGGAGUAACGCGUUACAAAAGUAAUACAUUGCGGUAACAGAUUAUUUUUUGUUGUAACGCAGUAGUGUAAGGCAUUACUAAUCAAUUUUCAGUAAUAUUUUAAUUGGUACAUGUUCAGUAACGCUGGUGUUACAACACAAUUUUCAC
This is a long non-coding RNA of Sphaeramia orbicularis (orbiculate cardinalfish), 154 nucleotides long. RefSeq lists it as uncharacterized. Lineage: Eukaryota; Metazoa; Chordata; Actinopteri; Kurtiformes; Apogonidae. The transcript is spliced from 4 exons. The record is from RefSeq and is a predicted model, not a curated record.